UCCUGUGCCAUCAACUUCUUCUCGGCAUCACUGUCCACGUGCUCACUGAAAUCUGAACUUGCGUCCAACGGAACGCUCGUUCACUGCCGCAGGCAUCCAACGUCCGCCGCCAUCAAAGGUUCGCCGCCAUCUAUUUCAAAUUUCCCACUCCACUGGAAACAACUAGAGGGAAUACUCGAAAAUCUCAAAGAGAAGCCAGAUGUUGGAACUUUGUUGCUGGCACUACAACGAACUUUAGAAUUUGAGGAUGAAUUAGCAGAAAAAUUUGGAGGCCGCUCUACUAGUAGAGAGAUUGGGAAUGAGAUAGAAGAAAUUGGCAGGGACAGUAAUAGUCAAACUGUAUCAGAUAUUCGAAAAAAGUACGAAAAAAAGCUUGCAGCUAAUCAAGGAGAGCCUGAACCUAACGAACCUGGUUAUACUGCCCCGCCACUUUCCC
Long non-coding RNA from Manihot esculenta (cassava), 436 nucleotides. RefSeq lists it as uncharacterized. NCBI's taxonomy places the organism in Eukaryota, Viridiplantae, Streptophyta, Magnoliopsida, Malpighiales, Euphorbiaceae. The record is from RefSeq and is a predicted model, not a curated record. The transcript has 4 exons.